RNAcentral lists this unclassified non-coding RNA (388 nucleotides) under Hevea brasiliensis (rubber tree). Lineage: Eukaryota; Viridiplantae; Streptophyta; Magnoliopsida; Malpighiales; Euphorbiaceae. The record is from RNAcentral.
UUCCUCCUUUUCCCACUUCCUCCUGGACAAACAAUCAAGCAUAUGUGGAUGCCAAAUACACACACAUGCGCAUAUGUGAUCAGUGCAAACAUAUAAAGCAUAAUAAACAUAAAAGCAUAUUAUGAAAAAUAUUAAAGAUGCAAAAGCCUUCCAAAAUAAGUCAAGAUGUAGCAAACAAAUCUAUGAAAUAUGUAUAGUUUCUUUACACCUCAAAUAAUUUUGCAGCAGUUUGAUUAUCAUUAAAUCAUUCAGAAAAAUCUGUUUGAUUAUAUUUUCUCAAUCCUUAUGAUUAUUUCCAAUGGCCUAUAUUAUCAAAGAAUUUGGUACAACAUAUUUGCUAGUAUGAAGCAUGGAAGGUCAAAUGCAUUCGAAAAAAAAAAAAAAAAGA